AACAACAAACAAACAUAUAUUCUAAAUUUUAUUUCGUAAUAACUUAAUGUAACCUAUAAAUAAAUGAAUGAUAGAAAUGGAUUAUUGCACAGAAAAAUUGAAAGAAAAUAAUAAUAUACUUAGAAUCCAAAUUCUAUAUAUAUCCUGGCACUGCAGCUACCAGAUAAUAAGUUCAACAGACAAGCAAAAUAAUCAAUCCAGACAGUGAAGCACAAGAAGCAGGGAAGUUUUAUCUGGUGUUUCUAUAUCUACUCCAUAUACAGUGCUUUCCAAGUGUCGGCCAAACCAUGUGUCAAGCUACCCUUAAACCCCUAUUAGGUAAAAGCUACACAGAAACACUUUUUACACACUCGUGUUUGAAAUAUAUAUUACAAACAUUUUUGUCUAGUAUUGAUGCUAGCAACAAAAAAGGACAUACUAAAUCAGUUUGUAAAGAUUUUCUAUCAAAACACAUUUAUUUGCUCUGAAUAAUUGCACAGGCACAUUUCUGCACUAAAUAAAAUUGGGUCCAUCUAAGUACUAAAAGCAUUCUUUCAAAUUAUGUACAAUCUAAAAAUAUUUUUCCCUCAUAUUAAAACUUGAGUAUAGAUCCUUGCUAAAAAUUUGUUUCUUAAAAGUGGAAGUUUUUGAACAAUUGUCCUUUUAAUGUCUUGAAGAAAACAUGUCUAAAAAUAAAUAUAUUGUAACAAACAAAUAAACAAACCAUAAAGGAAACGAAAUUUCAAAGAUAACAAUCUCCAAAACUCCCAGACAGUGUCUCAAAGAAUCAUAAAUAUAAAUAGUUUAAAAUAUAUGGGUAAACAAAUAUACGUUUCUAAAUAUAGUCGGCUAGGUUUACCUAGAUCUCUAAUGAGUCAAAUAGCCCAUAAACUUGAAUUGGCUGUCUCUCUGUAUAAGUUGGAUACCCCUAACACCGAAAUAUCAAAUCUGAGUAGUUCUUCAAAAUCACAAUAUGGUCAUACAUAUCUCCAGGUAUUUCUACCACCUUAUCAUCCAAAGGUAGGUAACUCGAAACAAAAUAUACCUUUUAAUUCAAAGGUAGAUAAUAUACCUUUUAAUCCGAAGGUAGAUAAUAUACCUUUUAAUUCGAAGGUAGAUAAUAUACCUUUUAAUCCGAAGGUAGAUAAUAUACCUUUUAAUUCGAAGGUAGAUAAUAUACCUUUUAAUCCGAAGGUAGAUAAUAUACCUUUUAAUUCGAAGGUAGAUAAUAUACCUUUUAAUCCGAAGGUAGAUAAUAUACCUUUUAAUUUGAAGGUAGAUAAUAUACCUUUAAUCCGAAGGUAGAUAACUUAAUACAAAAUAUCCCUUUUAAUCCAAAGGUAGAUAACUUAAUACAAAAUAUACCUUUUAAUCCAAAGGUAGAUAACUUAAUACAAAAUAUACCUAUUAAUCCAAAGGUAGAUAACUUAAUACAAAAUAUACCUUUUAAUCCAAAGGUAGAUAACUUAAUACAAAAUAUACCUUUACAUCCAAAGGUAUAUAACUUAAUACAAAAUAACUCAAUAUGAUGCGUCAAUAGAAUACAAUAUUCAUAGCACUAAAUCUGGAGAUACCUAUUAUCUCCCUUUGACCAAUCAUGAGUUCUUUUCUUAUUAUUGCACAUUCUAUUCAUUAAAUACCUUUGAAAUCCAUUCUUUCCAAUAAAAGAUUUGUUAAAACUUGCAUGUUUUCCAUGAGAAAAAAUUUUGUAAUGAGUUGAAUCAAACUUGAAUGAAAUGGGACCAAUGGAGAAGUUCAUUGUUAAACCACGGACUUAGAUAACCUAAUCUAACCUCAUUCCGUGGUUAAACUAUAAUCUAGAAUUGCUAAAAUCAACCUGGAAAAAGUUAGAAGAGGUCAAUUUUGCUGACACAUGAAAGACAUAACCAUAGAAAUUGAAAUAACAACCGAAUAUGAAAAUGGCUAGGUAUGAAAAUGGCUAGGAAAGUAUCGUCAUACAUGACCGUGAGCUGGAAUCAUGUAUCCUGACCAAGUCUAUAGUGAGAAAUGGACAUCUUCGCACAGAAUAUCACAAACAGUCUUUGGUGCCAAAUAAAAAGCAUUUUGCUUCUAAAGCCAAUUGAAUCGGUAAAGCUUUUUAUAAGGGUAAUUAAAUCUCCUUAUUUAUUAGUGUUCUUGAUCAACAAAUGAUAAGUUAAAGCUCUUCAGCCAGUUUAGGGAUUCAGCUAGCACUGUUGGGAGCACUGCAGCACUCUAUAUGAAAGCCACCACCUUACAACUACAUGCUCUACCAACACAAACCGUUUGUGUCUAUCUCAAGCUGAGAUUUCAGUUACAUUAUGUUUAUAUGGCAAAUAAGACACUUGAGCUCAAACUGAGCUUGAGAAUGAGACGAGUAUGAAAUUGGAGCUUAAAGAGUGGAGUUUAUUAAUCGCUGUGAUAAAUAGGCAUGUUACUGAAGUGUUGCCACUUAUAAAAUUUUGACACCAAUAACAGUAAAAACCGAAUAUGAUCGUUUUCACAGAAACAAAAAAUGAAGUUUCAGCACACAAAAAAUAAAACAACUGACAACAAAUGGUUAAGGCAGAAAUGGUGAAAAAAUUAAGCUGUUGAUUAAAACUACACUGUAUUAUUAACUUUGGAGAGUAAUUCUAGACCACUUUAAAUCACCAAGUUUUUCUACUUAGUUAAGGUUACCGAACUUUGGAGAGUAAUUCUAGGCCACUCUAAAUCACCAAGUAUUUCUACUUAAAGUAAAGGUUACCAAACUUUGGAGAGUAAUUCUAGGCCACUCUUAAUCACCAAGUAUUUCUACUUAAAAUAAAGGUUACCGAAUUCUAGGCCACUCUUAAUCACCAAGUAUUUCUAACUUAGUUAAGGUUACCAAACUUUGGAGAGUAAAUCUAGGCCACUCUAAAUCACCAAGUAUUUCUACUUAGUUAAGGUUUCCGAACUUUGGAGAGUAAUUCUAGGCCACUCUAAAUCACCAAGUUUUUCUACUUAAAGUUAAGGUUACCGAAGUUUGGACAGUCAUUCUAGGCCACUUUUAAUCACCAAGUAUUUCUA
Molecule: long non-coding RNA, 3006 nt
Filed under: Mizuhopecten yessoensis (Yesso scallop)
Lineage: Eukaryota; Metazoa; Mollusca; Bivalvia; Pectinida; Pectinidae
Description: uncharacterized LOC110453990
Source: RNAcentral